GCGGGGGUGGUGGAAUGGCAGACACGCAGGUCUCAGAAGCCUGUGCCGCAAGGCAUGAGGGUUCAAGUCCCUCCUCCCGCA
RNAcentral lists this transfer RNA (81 nucleotides) under Candidatus Omnitrophica bacterium ADurb.Bin205. RNAcentral describes it as "tRNA-Ser". It matches the Rfam family "tRNA". Rfam says of the family: Transfer RNA (tRNA) molecules are approximately 80 nucleotides in length. Lineage: Bacteria; Pseudomonadati; Candidatus Omnitrophota. The record is from RNAcentral.